UACGUAGGUGGCAAGCGUUAUCCGGAAUUAUUGGGCGUAAAGGGUGCGUAGGCGGUUUCUUAAGUCUUAUGUGAAAUCUCAGAGCUUAACUCUGGGCUGCAUAAGAAACUAUUAGACUAGAGUGCAGGAGAGGGCAACGGAAUUCCAUGUGUAGCGGUAAAAUGCGUAGAUAUAUGGAGGAACACCGGUGGCGAAGGCGGUUGCCUGGCCUGUUACUGACGCUGAAGCACGAAAGCGUGGGGAGCAAAUAGGAUUAGAUACCCUAGUAGUCCACGCUGUAAACGAUGAAUACUAAGUGUUGGGAUAAAACUCAGUGCUGCAGUUAACGCAAUAAGUAUUCCGCCUGGGGAGUACGCACGCAAGUGUG
RNAcentral lists this ribosomal RNA (367 nucleotides) under uncultured prokaryote. Its description in RNAcentral is "bacterial SSU rRNA". It matches the Rfam family "Bacterial small subunit ribosomal RNA", at positions 524 to 896 of the family's 1533-position model. The record is from RNAcentral.